Molecule: ribosomal RNA, 260 nt
Filed under: uncultured bacterium
Lineage: Bacteria
Description: partial 16S ribosomal RNA
Rfam family: Bacterial small subunit ribosomal RNA
Source: RNAcentral
GUCCACGCCCUAACGAUGUCAACUGGUUGUUGGGUCUUCACUGACUCAGUAACGAAGCUAACGCGUGAAGUUGACCGCCUGGGAGUACGGCCGCAAGGUUGAACUCAAGGAAUUGACGGGACCCGGCACAAGCGGUGGAUGAUGUGGGUUUAAUUCGAUGCAACGCGAAACCUUAACCCACCUUUGACAUGUACGGAAUCCUUUAGAGAUAGAGGAGUGCUCGAAAGAGAGCCGUAACACAGGUGCUGCAUGGCUGUCGU